Molecule: ribosomal RNA, 309 nt
Filed under: uncultured eukaryote
Lineage: Eukaryota
Description: partial 18S ribosomal RNA
Rfam family: Eukaryotic small subunit ribosomal RNA
Source: RNAcentral
CCCUUAGACGUUCUGGGCCGCACGCGCGCUACACUGACGAAGGCAACGAGCUUUCCUUUACCGAAAGGUACGGGUAAUCUUUUGAAACUUCGUCGUGCUGGGGAUAGAUCCUUGCAAUUUUUGAUCUUAAACGAGGAAUUCCUAGUAAGCGCAAGUCAUCAACUUGCGUUGAUUACGUCCCUGCCCUUUGUACACACCGCCCGUCGCUACUACCGAUUGAAUGGUUUAGUGAGGCCUUCGGAUCCGCGACUCGUUUUGUGGAGAAGUUGGACAAACUCAGUCAUUUAGAGGAAGUAAAAGUCGUAACAA